Non-coding RNA from Macaca mulatta (Rhesus monkey), 1858 nucleotides. Lineage: Eukaryota; Metazoa; Chordata; Mammalia; Primates; Cercopithecidae. The record is from RefSeq and is a predicted model, not a curated record.
UGGGAUUAACACACUGAGAUUGGACGGAGAUAAGGGUUUCAAGGGACAAAAAAGGAACAUUUGUUGGAAACAUGCCAGAGCGUCUCCACCCUCCAUCAGGACAGACUGACAGAGUGGGCUGGGGACAGGACACCCCACAUCCCUUCUGGUUCCCUGGGCACCCCCUGCCCUUUGACCUGGGCCACCAGAUCACAGCCUUGUCCACUCGCCAGAGCCCUGGCACCACGGGCACACCAUGCCCCACCGGUGCCCUGCCCAACCCUGCUCCCUCCCAGAUUCCCACCCAGGCAGCCUUUCUCAGGUACACAAUGUGCAAGACUCACUGUGACCUGCCCACCAGGCCCCCCUGAGCAGGCCCUGCAGAGGCGCCAACCUUUCUGAGGGUCAGAGGUGAGGGUGAGCUUCUGGGUGGCCUUCCCGGAGGAGAAGGGGGCUUAGGGCUGUGCCUGAGCUCAAGGUAGUGGGGAUCCAACAUCCCAGAGGGGCUGCAGAAGGCCAGAGAGGCAGGAUGGGGUGAGCUGCAGGCCCCCUAGCCCAGAGGCCCAUCAGAACUACCCUCAGCUGCCAGGCAUCCGGCCCCACCCCGGAGGAAAGGCAAGGCAUGGCUGGGGUUGGGUGGAGGGAGCCAGGCCAGAGCACUGCAGCGUGCAACUCGAUCAGAAGCCUGUCACAGUGGGUGCAGUCCCAGGCCAGCGGCCCCCCCGGACACCUUGGGGGCAUAAAGCCUACAGAGGAGCCACCUCAGCUCUGUCCUGCUCUUGUGUCCCAAGGAGACGCCAUGCCACCUUGCUGCACGAUGCUUUGGGCUCUGCUGAUCAAUUCCCUCCUUGCCCUGCUCUGGGUGUCCCCAGGCCAGGCCCAGGUCCCCAUCCAGGCCAACUUUGAUGCUAGCCAGGUGCGCCCAGCCCUGUUUCCUCCUCCUCUCCAAUGAGUCCUCCCAGCUUUGGCACUGCACCCCAGGUCCCUGUCCACACUCUCUUUGAUCCAGGCUCAGCAGGGCUGGGGGCAUGGGAAACCCCCCACCACACCUGUUCCAUCUGACUGGCGUAGGCGUUGGCUGGGGAAGACUGCAGGCCUCCAUCCUAGCUUUUCGGUUGCAUCCCCCAUCACUCCCCAGGGCCCAAAAUUGGGACAAGUUACAGCUGCCUGCCCCUCACUGUCCCCCACCCACCCCACAUAGACCUGUGACCUUGCCACAGCCCCACCCAUCCAGCCGUACCCCCUGGGUGCCAGCUGCAGACAGGCCGGUGCUGGGCUGGUGGAGGCCAGUUGCUCAUCUGCUGAGGCCCCCCUCCCUCAGUUCUGCAUCAGGGUGGAGGUGUGUACAGCAGCCCCUGUCCUGGCCAGGAAGCAGCUGUGUCAGGACAGAACGUGGUGGGCUCAGGCCCAGGGCACAGGAGCGGCCUUCCAGCCUUCCCUGCACUUGCCCUGCAGUUCCAGGGCACCUGGUACAUGGUCGGGGUGGUGUCAGAUGACCAGGACUUCCUGGACUCCAAGGACACCAUGAAGAUGCCUGUGGUCUUAGUGACCCCCUUGGAGAACAGUGACCUGGCCCUCAAGUUUGGAUAUCCCAUGUAAGUGACCCCACAAGCCCGUCAGACUCAGCCUCAGAUGAGGCCAGAUGAAGGUCCAGAGGGACCACGGUGUCCCCAGCACAUCGGGGUCAGACCACGGGUCCUUAAGGGCUCCGUGCUGCAGAGCUCCAGAUGGCAGCCACACGGUGUCCAGAGGGACCCAGGCCCUGGAGGAAGCACCGCCUGAGGCCCAGUGUUGAGAAAAGUGUCUGCAUGUCUGUGUGUGUGUAUUACUGUAUGUGGCUGUGUCUGUGUGUGUGUCUAUUUCUGCAUGUGUGUGUGUG